This 468-nucleotide ribosomal RNA is filed under the name uncultured bacterium. Its description in RNAcentral is "partial 16S ribosomal RNA". It matches the Rfam family "Bacterial small subunit ribosomal RNA", at positions 28 to 507 of the family's 1533-position model. The record is from RNAcentral.
GACGAACGCUGGCGGCGUGCUUAACACAUGCAAGUCGAACGGAAAGGCCCUGCUUUUGUGGGGUGCUCGAGUGGCGAACGGGUGAGUAACACGUGAGUAACCUGCCCUUGACUUUGGGAUAACUUCAGGAAACUGGGGCUAAUACCGGAUAGGAGCUCCUGCUGCAUGGUGGGGGUUGGAAAGUUUCGGCGGUUGGGGAUGGACUCGCGGCUUAUCAGCUUGUUGGUGUGGUAGUGGCUUACCAAGGCUUUGACGGGUAGCCGGCCUGAGAGGGUGACCGGCCACAUUGGGACUGAGAUGCGACCCAGACUCCUACGGGAGGCAGCAGUGGGGAAUAUUGCACAAUGGGCGGAAGCCUGAUGCAGCAACGCCGCGUGCGGGAUGACGGCAUGCGGGUUGUAAACCACUUUCGCCUGUGACGAAGCGUGAGUGACGGUAAUGGGUAAAGAAGCACCGGCUAACUACGUG